This is a non-coding RNA of Acanthosepion pharaonis, 108 nucleotides long. NCBI's taxonomy places the organism in Eukaryota, Metazoa, Mollusca, Cephalopoda, Sepiida, Sepiidae. The record is from the annotation of a GenBank genome assembly.
UUACGGCUAUAUCAUGUUGAAACAUCACUUCCCAUACACUCACAAAAGUUAAGCAACAUCGAGCUUGGUCAGUACCUAGAUGGGUGACCAUUUGGGAAUGCCAGGUAU